AUUGAACGCUGGCGGCAUGCCUUACACAUGCAAGUCGAACGGUAACAGGUCUUCGGAUGCUGACGAGUGGCGAACGGGUGAGUAAUACAUCGGAACGUGCCUAGUAGCGGGGGAUAACUACUCGGAAGAGUGGCUAAUACCGCAUGAGAUCUACGGAUGAAAGCAGGGGAUCGCAAGACCUUGUGCUACUAGAGCGGCCGAUGGCAGAUUAGGUAGUUGGUGGGAUAAAAGCUUACCAAGCCGACGAUCUGUAGCUGGUCUGAGAGGACGAUCAGCCACACUGGGACUGAGACACGGCCCAGACUCCUACGGGAGGCAGCAGUGGGGAAUUUUGGACAAUGGGCGCAAGCCUGAUCCAGCAAUGCCGCGUGCAGGAUGAAGGCCUUCGGGUUGUAAACUGCUUUUGUACGGAACGAAAAGCCCCGGGUUAAUACCCUGGGGUCAUGACGGUACCGAAAGAAUAAGCACCGGCUAACUUCGUGCCAGCCGCCGCGGUAA
Molecule: ribosomal RNA, 498 nt
Filed under: uncultured bacterium
Lineage: Bacteria
Description: partial 16S ribosomal RNA
Rfam family: Bacterial small subunit ribosomal RNA
Source: RNAcentral